Molecule: transfer RNA, 71 nt
Filed under: Sphaerodactylus townsendi
Lineage: Eukaryota; Metazoa; Chordata; Lepidosauria; Squamata; Sphaerodactylidae
Description: tRNA-Ile
Rfam family: tRNA
About the family: Transfer RNA (tRNA) molecules are approximately 80 nucleotides in length. Their secondary structure includes four short double-helical elements and three loops (D, anti-codon, and T loops).
Source: RNAcentral
AGAGAUGUGGCUGAGUGGUAGAGCAUCUGCUUGAUAUGCAGAAGGUCCCAAUUCAAUCUCCGGCAUCUCCA